RNAcentral lists this ribosomal RNA (746 nucleotides) under uncultured cyanobacterium. RNAcentral's name for it is "bacterial SSU rRNA". It matches the Rfam family "Bacterial small subunit ribosomal RNA", at positions 8 to 796 of the family's 1533-position model. Lineage: Bacteria; Bacillati; Cyanobacteriota. The record is from RNAcentral.
AGAGUUUGAUCAUGGCUCAGGAUGAACGCUGGCGGUAUGCUUAACACAUGCAAGUCGAACGGAGUGCUUCGGCACUUAGUGGCGGACGGGUGAGUAACGCGUGAGAAUCUGGCUUCGGGUUCGGGACAACAGUGGGAAACUGCUGCUAAUACCGGAUGUGCCUAAAGGUAAAAGAUUAAUUGCCCGAAGAUGAGCUCGCGUCCGAUUAGCUAGUUGGUGUGGUAAGAGCGCACCAAGGCGUCGAUCGGUAGCUGGUCUGAGAGGACGAUCAGCCACACUGGGACUGAGACACGGCCCAGACUCCUACGGGAGGCAGCAGUGGGGAAUUUUCCGCAAUGGGCGAAAGCCUGACGGAGCAAUACCGCGUGAGGGAGGAAGGCUCUUGGGUUGUAAACCUCUUUUCUCAGGGAAGAACAAAAUGACGGUACCUGAGGAAUCAGCAUCGGCUAACUCCGUGCCAGCAGCCGCGGUAAUACGGAGGAUGCAAGCGUUAUCCGGAAUGAUUGGGCGUAAAGCGUCCGCAGGUGGCUUAUCAAGUCGAUUGUCAAAGGUCCUGGCUCAACUGGGAACAGGCAGUGGAAACUGAAAAGCUAGAGUGCGGUAGGGGUAGAGGGAAUUCCCGGUGUAGCGGUGAAAUGCGUAGAGAUCGGGAAGAACACCAGUGGCGAAAGCGCUCUACUAGGCCUGCACUGACACUCAUGGACGAAAGCUAGGGGAGCGAAUGGGAUUAGAUACCCCCGUAGUCC